Molecule: ribosomal RNA, 406 nt
Filed under: uncultured bacterium
Lineage: Bacteria
Description: partial 16S ribosomal RNA
Rfam family: Bacterial small subunit ribosomal RNA
Source: RNAcentral
AUUGAACGCUGGCGGCAGGCCUAACACAUGCAAGUCGAACGAGUGGCGGACGGGUGAGUAAUGUCUGGGAAACUGCCUGAUGGAGGGGGAUAACUACUGGAAACGGUAGCUAAUACCGCAUACCAUCGGAUGUGCCCAGAUGGGAUUAGCUAGUAGGUGGGGUAACGGCUCACCUAGGCGACGAUCCCUAGCUGGUCUGAGAGGAUGACCAGCCACACGGGAACUGAGACACGGUCCAGAAUCGUACGGGAGGCAGCAGUGGGGAAUAUUGCAAAAUGGGCGCAAGCCUGAUGCAGCCAUGCCGCGUGUAUGAAGAAGGCCUUCGGGUUGUAAACGCCUUUCGACAGGGACGCGGUACCUGUAGAAGAAGCACCGGCUAACUACGUGCCAGCAGCCGCGGUAAUUC